GUUUACACAGAUAUUUUCACAUUGUUAAGAUUUCAAGGACUCUAGCUGUUGAAAGUAGUGUUUGUGAUUGCACUUCUCGGUGUGUCUUGAGCUAUUUUGGAUUUGUAAUAUUGACUUUUUCCUCGAUUUUAGAUACUUAUUCAUCAGUAUGGAAAUAUAAAUGUGGGUCAAACACUAUAGCAUCAGCAUUCGCACAAAAUAAUUCAAACAAAUUGGACGUACAUUUGUAUAUAGGUCAGAUAGGUCAUUGAACAAUGGACCUGAAUCAUUCGUGUUUUCUCAUAUUUUUUUUUGUUUCCCUGAAAUUUUAUAGUGAUGUUUGCACCAUUUAAAAUGCAUACAAGAAUAAGGAGAUAUAGUAUGAUUGCAAGUGAUAAAGAUAUCUAUUGAUAGUAUAAAAUACAGAUAUGAACAACCAUAUUGUAUAGCAAGCUUAAGAAGACCUUGUGAUGAAUAAAUGUAAAACAGUACAUUUAAAGACAAAACUAAUGGCUUAAUUAUACGAAGAACAAUAUGGCAAAUAAGAACAAACGACAACCACUACAAUAGCCUUCAAAUAGUUGACCGCC
Molecule: long non-coding RNA, 569 nt
Filed under: Mytilus galloprovincialis (Mediterranean mussel)
Lineage: Eukaryota; Metazoa; Mollusca; Bivalvia; Mytilida; Mytilidae
Source: RNAcentral